UACAGAGGGUGCAAGCGUUAAUCGGAAUUACUGGGCGUAAAGCGUGCGUAGACGGUUAUAUAAGUCGGGUGUGAAAGCCCCGGGCUCAACCUGGGAAUUGCAUUCGAGACUGUAUAGCUAGGGUGCGGAAGAGGGAAGCGGAAUUUCCGGUGUAGCGGUGAAAUGCGUAGAUAUCAUCUGGAACGCCAAUGGUGCAGACAGGCUGCUGGGAAUGAACUGACGCUGAGGCACGAAAGCUAGGGGAGCGAACGGG
RNAcentral lists this ribosomal RNA (253 nucleotides) under uncultured bacterium. RNAcentral describes it as "partial 16S ribosomal RNA". It matches the Rfam family "Bacterial small subunit ribosomal RNA", at positions 524 to 776 of the family's 1533-position model. The record is from RNAcentral.